This is a long non-coding RNA of Eriocheir sinensis (Chinese mitten crab), 2102 nucleotides long. RefSeq lists it as uncharacterized. The transcript is spliced from 2 exons. The record is from RefSeq and is a predicted model, not a curated record. NCBI's taxonomy places the organism in Eukaryota, Metazoa, Arthropoda, Malacostraca, Decapoda, Varunidae.
UAUAUAUAUAUAUAUAUAUAUAUAUAUAUAUAUAUAUAUAUAUAUAUAUAUAUAUAUAUAUAUAUAUAUAUAUAAAAAAUCACUGCAUUUAUACAAAAGUUAGCUACCAUCCCAGGUGAUCCCAUGAUUUGUUUCUUCAACAUGUAAAAUUAGUUUUCAUUACUAGUCCGAAGUGUAUAUUAAAUUUUGUGAUCAUUAAUUCGUUCUUUAAAAAUGCACGUUAAAGAGCACAAAUAUACCCUCAAUUUCAACUCGUGAGGAUAUACUACAUAUGAGUUAGAUCUUGUAAUGAGGUUGCUAGUGGAGAGGUCCCCUCCCACCCUCCCGUCUGUCAGUCACUGAGCACUGGGAGGGGGGGAGGUGAUCUGACCCGCCCACAGUAAUUACAUGAGGUACCGCUUGGAGUGAUGGCUUUGCCAGCCCUCCAGCCCCGCACUCUCGGGAGUCACCUGAUUACCUUUUUAAACCUGAGGUGUGUUUGUAUACAUAAGGAGCUCUAUACACACUUUCCCUACUUCUACUCCUCCUUCAAAAACCUGAAGAUGGUGACUGUGUCCCCAAAAUCUCUGGUAAAUUUGUACACUUUCGUUUGCCAAUAUGGGUUAUGUUCACACACCCUCACCUGCUGAUAUUGAGAUAAAUUACACACACACCUGCUUAUACACUGAGACUGUACCAAAGACUUCAGUAAUAGACUCCAUGCAUGAAGAAUUGCCAUGAAGGUUAAAAGUUCUGACAGUGUACAGCUUGUUGAGCCUUAAAGGUAUAUACAUGUUGUUGUGUGUGAGUGAGUCACAAAGAUGAGUUUUCUCACAUGCUAUGGUCAAAUCUGUACAUCAUUACCCUCAUGGCUACCCUGUUCCUCACUAAACAAGCUGGAAGAUGAACACUUAAGACAGAAAAUAGCACUCAGAGCACAUAAUGACUGAGAGAGUAACAACCAGACAAGUGGAAGCUCAUUUUUUGUUCUCAAACUCUUGAAUUCAAUGUGACUCUCUCCUUCUCUCUCUCUCUCUGAAGAUGGUCCCAAUGAAAAAGAAUGAAAAACUUCAUUAUAAUUUUCCUGUCCAUAUUUUCCAACUGUCAGCUUGAAAAUCACACCCACUUCAUUCAGACAUACACAGUAAACAACAAUACAGUCUUGUUUGGUUUCCCAGGACCCUGAGCAGGCACUGGGACCAGCAUGAAAACUGUGACCUUGUUAUGAAUACAGAAAAGUGAAACUUCUGAACUCUAUCUCUCCCUCACAGGUGCAUACACAAUCAAGACUAUCAGUAACAGUAACAAGUUUAAUUUCACCAUUCCAAAAAAUACUUUAAAAUCUGCAAUGUCUACAAAAGUAAGAAAUUAAACUAUUUGCAGGUACUAUUGCAAAACUUCUUGUGACUCGCUAAGGCUAACUAAACCUCCCCGGCUAAUAAACUGCCUUAAUCUUUGUUGUGAAGUAAGGAAAGACUGGUGGAAUAGAGUGUAAUGCAGACUAGUGAGUAUAUGCUAUGUAUCUAUACCAGCAAGCCACUAAUUCUGCUCAGCCUUUAAAAUGUGUCAAAGAGAAAAGUUUGUUCAUUUGAAGGUUAAAGACAAAUUACCUAUCCAUAAUUAUCUGGGAGUGUAAAAAGACAGAAAGUGCAGAAUAGAAUAUGAGUAACUAAAUACUAGGAACACUGGCAAACUAAUUCAGCUGAACCUUCAGGAGGUAUUACGGACGAAUGGCUAUCGACUCUGCUUUGGAAGUAAAGACUAAUAGGAGUCACAUAAUUAAAAAAUGUUUCAUUGGUAUGGACCGUAUAAACACAGCCUUAAUUUAGCUGAGCUUGUAUUAUGAAAUUACGUCAUAGUUACUUCUUGUCAUGGAAGUUAAGAACACCAAAACAACACAAUGGACUGCUCAAUAUUUCUACCAACAAAGCUAUUAUUAUUAUUUUUUUUUUCACAAAGUAUGCCUAUCUACUUGGUGUUCUGGAUGUGAAGAUUCAAUAAUGGCCAAAUUAAGCAACUCAGCUACUCUUUAGAAUGGAUAUCUCUCCCUCCAAGAAGCUGCCACAACUAAAGGACAAACUUGUGACCCCGCAGACACAAGCCUGGCGCUCUACCACACAACA